This 308-nucleotide ribosomal RNA is filed under the name Acinetobacter haemolyticus. RNAcentral's name for it is "partial 23S ribosomal RNA". It matches the Rfam family "Bacterial large subunit ribosomal RNA", at positions 1 to 323 of the family's 2925-position model. Lineage: Bacteria; Pseudomonadati; Pseudomonadota; Gammaproteobacteria; Moraxellales; Moraxellaceae. The record is from RNAcentral.
GUUGUAUAGUCAAGUAAUUAAGUGCAUGUGGUGGAUGCCUUGGCAGUCAGAGGCGAUGAAAGACGUGAUAGCCUGCGAAAAGCUCCGGGGAGGCGGCAAAUAUCCUUUGAUCCGGAGAUAUCUGAAUGGGGGAACCCACCCGCUAUAAGGCGGGUAUCAAUAACUGAAUACAUAGGUUAUUGAAGCGAACGAGGGGAAGUGAAACAUCUCAGUACCCUUAGGAAAAGAAAUCAAUUGAGAUUCCCUUAGUAGCGGCGAGCGAACGGGGAUCAGCCCAUUAAGUUGUGUGUGUUCUAGUGGAACGCUCU